AUUGAACGCUGGCGGCAGGCCUAACACAUGCCAGUCGAGCGGAUGAAGGGAGCUUGCUCCUGGAUUCAGCGGCGGACGGGUGUGUAAUGCCUAGGAAUCUGCCUGGUAGUGGGGGAUAACGUCCGGAAACGGGCGCUAAUACCGCAUACGCCCUGAGGGAGAAAGUGGGGGAUCUUCGGACCUCACGCUAUCAGAUGAGCCUAGGUCGGAUUAGCUAGUUGGUGGGGUAAAGGCCUACCAAGGCGACGAUCCGUAACUGGUCUGAGAGGAUGAUCAGUCACACUGGAACUGAGACACGGUCCAGACUCCUACGGGAGGCAGCAGUGGGGAAUAUUGGACAAUGGGCGAAAGCCUGAUCCAGCCAUGCCGCGUGUGUGAAGAAGGUCUUCGGAUUGUAAAGCACUUUAAGUUGGGAGGAAGGGCAGUAAGUUAAUACCUUGCUGUUUUGACGUUACCAACAGAAUAAGCACCGGCUAACUUCGUG
Molecule: ribosomal RNA, 484 nt
Filed under: uncultured bacterium
Lineage: Bacteria
Description: partial 16S ribosomal RNA
Rfam family: Bacterial small subunit ribosomal RNA
Source: RNAcentral